This 253-nucleotide ribosomal RNA is filed under the name uncultured bacterium. RNAcentral describes it as "partial 16S ribosomal RNA". It matches the Rfam family "Bacterial small subunit ribosomal RNA", at positions 524 to 776 of the family's 1533-position model. The record is from RNAcentral.
UACGUAGGGUGCAAGCGUUGUCCGGAAUUAUUGGGCGUAAAGAGCUCGUAGGCGGUUCGUCGCGUCGGCUGUGAAAACCCGGAGCUCAACUCCGGGCCUGCAGUCGAUACGGGCGGACUUGAGUGUUGCAGGGGAGACUGGAAUUCCUGGUGUAGCGGUGAAAUGCGCAGAUAUCAGGAGGAACACCGGUGGCGAAGGCGGGUCUCUGGGCAACUACUGACGCUGAGGAGCGAAAGCAUGGGGAGCGAACAGG